RNAcentral lists this ribosomal RNA (301 nucleotides) under uncultured bacterium. Its description in RNAcentral is "partial 16S ribosomal RNA". It matches the Rfam family "Bacterial small subunit ribosomal RNA", at positions 509 to 807 of the family's 1533-position model. The record is from RNAcentral.
CAGUCGCCACGGUAAUACGAAGGGGGCUAGCGUUGUUCGGAUUUACUGGGCGUAAAGGGUGCGUAGGCGGACUGAUAAGUCAGGGGUGAAAUCCCAAGGCUCAACCUUGGAACUGCCUUUGAUACUGUUAGUCUUGAGUUCGAGAGAGGUGAGUGGAACUGCGAGUGUAGAGGUGAAAUUCGUAGAUAUUCGCAAGAACACCAGUGGCGAAGGCGGCUCACUGGCUCGAAACUGACGCUGAGGCACGAAAGCGUGGGGAGCAAACAGGAUUAGAUACCCCCGUAGUCCCUGUCUCUUAUAC